CUCUCUCUAUGUUUCAGAUGUGUUGUGGUGACGUUCUACCGGCCCCAUCCUCCUUCAUGCGUUUGUCAUUGACUUCCUGCCAGCCUCUGUUUGAGGAGCUCCUCCUCCUGCUGCAGCCCCUCAGUCUCCUGACCCUUAACCUCGACCUGCUCUUCCAGCACCACCACCUGGAUCCAGCCAAUCACAGCCCAGAGAUCCCCAGCCCAUCCAAUCAGGACCUGGGGUUCAGGCUCUCGCCCCGGGGGUCCGCAUCCCAAGGCAGUGGCAGCAGCUAUCUCGAGAGCCUAUCAGAGCUGGACUUUGGGAGAGCAGAACCCGAGGCGACCAAUCAUAAUGCGGGCUCGUCGUCCCUGGCCAACUCAGGGGUGGGAGGGUUGGUGGAGUCACUAAAGCCAGCGAGUCUCAGUGUGGGGCCUGCAAAGGUCUCUGGGCGUCUUGCGGAGACAAGUCCUCAGCUGAUGUGGGUUCAGGAGAAAGAAAUUAGGGAGCUAGCACCUCCUAAUGUUGGGGAGGCCAGUCUCUCCCAACAGGCAGGACAGGUGAUCCAGCAGGGAUGGGGGGCUGUGGUACGCUGGGGGGCAAGCUGGGCCAGAACCUGGCUGAACUCAGCCUGUCUGCAGUACAGAACCAGGAGGGGACAUCCAGAGACCCCCCAGAGCCCCAGACCAGUACCCAGGCCAGGAGUGACCCUCAUCAGGUCGAUGGAGCUUUGGCGGUCCCCUGGGGUUUGGGACGGCUGUUUGGAGCCUCCAAUAACUCCACGAUACCCACACUUCCAACCAGGUGCGCUGGUGUGUGUGUGUUUGUGUGAUAGUUUUCUGAUACUAGACAGUUGA
This is a long non-coding RNA of Oncorhynchus kisutch (coho salmon), 836 nucleotides long. The record is from Ensembl. Lineage: Eukaryota; Metazoa; Chordata; Actinopteri; Salmoniformes; Salmonidae.